Long non-coding RNA from Dromaius novaehollandiae (emu), 11758 nucleotides. RefSeq lists it as uncharacterized. The record is from RefSeq and is a predicted model, not a curated record. The transcript has 3 exons. NCBI's taxonomy places the organism in Eukaryota, Metazoa, Chordata, Aves, Casuariiformes, Dromaiidae.
UGGGUCUGGGAGGUGUGUGGGUCUGUUAGGGGUGUUAUGGGGCAGGCGGUGUGUGAGUCCCCCCCCGCCUGGUUCCAGCAGUGUGUGGGGCAGACCGCGUGUGGGGCAGACCCCGUGUGGGGCAGCGGGCAGGGGUUCCUCUGCGGUGCCGGGGUGCUGCUGGGCCCAGCCCCAGGGCCACCUCUCCCUGUGGGGCUGGAGGCGGCACGGCUGUCCCGGGGCACUUGGGGGGUCACCAGGGUGGUGCACGGGGGCUGUUAGGGGGUGCUGCCUCCCUGCCCCACAAGUGGCUAUGGGGUGGGCACUGGGUGCCCUGCAGGUGGUUAUGGGGUGGACUCUGGUUCCUCCCACCCCCCAUGUGGUUAUGGGGUGGGCGCUGGGUGCUCUCCUGCCCCCCAUGUGGUUAUGGGGUGGGCGCUGGCUGCCCCCCGGGUGGUUAUGGGGUGGGCGCUGGGUGCUCUCCUGCCCCCCGGGUGGUCUCCCAGCCCCUCGGGGGGCUGAGCCUGACCCCGACGGUGCAGGCAGCAGGUGCCGGCGCUGAGCCGUGGGGCCGGGAGCGCGGCACCCCACGGCGGGGGGACGGGCCCUGGCUCUCCCUCCGGUGAGCGGGCGGCACCGGCUGCAGGAGACAUCCACGGCCCGGAUUUAAGGACGGGGGAAAAGAAGCCGGGAGGCCGCAGGCUCGUUAGUGCGACCUCGUCAGCCUGGAGACGCAGGAAGGUGGUCACGGGGGGGGGGGUGUCCCUUGUGAGACCCCCAAGCCCCGCUGCGGCGGUGCCGCCCCGUCCCCGCUUCACCCCGGAGCGCGUGGGGUGGGGGACAGCGGUGGGGGAAGGCGCUGCGGGAGGUGGCACAACGGAGCGGGACGGAUCCCGCGGGAACGUGCCCGUGGGGUCGGUGAUGUGUGCGGAAAUACCGUCACCGGAGUGACCUUCUCCAGGGCUUCCGCGUCCCAAACCAGGCCGCGUGGGCAGCACGGGGCACGUCGGCACCUGCCCCAUGGAGGGGCUCCCAGCCGCCUCCGGGGCUGGCUCCGGGGCUGGUGCGAGCAGGGAUGGCUCCUAACGAGGUCCCUGGCUCCGUUUCCCCCCUUCUCCAGUCGCUCCUGUUGGAGCUUCCCAGACUCUCCCUGUUCCGCUAAACCUUUAUCUAAUUUGCGCCUGAAAGCGUCUGCGGGCUCUCGAGUGCCUCCCGCCCUGGAGAAAAUGUCUCCUUUCGUUUAAAAGCUCCCAUCCGCCCGGAUUAGCUUCGGGGCUUCCUCCUCCCAGGUGUCGGCACGUCCCUGAGUGCUCUGUCUUCUCCCCGCGCCCGCUUCCUCGGGUGACGGGGACACCAGCCCGUUUGCCCAGGGACGUGCGGGGUCUAGGGCGAGCCCCCCCGCCCCGAGCACCGCCCUUGCAGACCGGCUCCCGCUGCCCCCCCGACCCAAGCUCGCGCGCGGCCCCCGUCCCCGUCCCCAUCCCCGUCCCCGCGUUGGCACCGUGCUCGGUCCCCCGGCUGUGCCGGGCGGCGGUGGCUGCAGCGCGACCUCCCGCAGCCCCUUCGCUGGGCCCUCAGCAGCGUCCCCGGGCGCCGGGCCGCGUCCCGUCCGGCCCCCGGCCUUGGCCCCCUUCCAGGCAGCAGGAAACCGGCCGCCAGCAGUGCUGGUGUAUUCCUGCCUGCAUUCCUGCCUGUUCCCGUACUCCCGCGUGUGUGACCUGCGUUCGGGUCCCGGCACGGUCGCUCCUCUCCGUGGCCGUUCCCGUGGCCGCGGUGCCCCGGACCAAGGCGCGAGGAGCCGUUCACGGCGGCCGGCGUCGCCUGCAGCCGCGCAGCGCGGCACAGCAGGGACAAGGGGGUCUGUCCCUCUCUCCCCCAGCUCUCAAGGGUGGGACGCUCCAUCCUUAACGUGACCACGUCCCUGCUGCCGCCGGCACCCUCGGGGACGGCCCUGGGCGCUGCCCGUCCGCGCGCCCGGAGACCCCGAAGCUGCUGCCGGAGCCUGGCCCGGGACUGCCUCGUGCGGCCCUUCCGCGUUCGGCUGCGCAAGCAGCGUGUUUGGAGAGACGGGUCGAGCUCACCACGGACGCCAGCAGCCCCCGCGGAGGAAGCGGGGUCCCUGCGCGGGUGAAAAACUGCUUGAAAGGGGCUGGGAGCAGCGGCUGCCUCUGGCUGACGAGGAAGGUCGGUGGCUGCGGGGUUUGCGGGGGUCUGUGCUGGGCUCUGAGCUAUGCGGCACCUCCACAAAGGACCUGGAAAAGGGAAGCAAUACAGAGUUUUGCUCACGGCAUGGAGCAGCAACGCAGGGCAGGACAGAAGAGGGGCAAGUCCGAGGAACUGCAGAGGAACCCUCUGCGAUGAGCACCUGGGCGGUAACACAGCGAAGGCAGUUGGGCAGCGCUGAGCGGAGGACGCUGCCCGCGGGGAAUGUCCCUGCCGUCUCAGCAGUCCGUCAGCGCUCCGCAGCGAGACCACGGGACGGUGAAAAACCUCCCUGGGAGCCAUCAGCCGAGAUUACAAUGAAAACGUGGAGAAAGCUGUGGCUCUGGAAUGAGAAAUUCUGUAUUUGAUGAGGAGUCGUCGUCACCAGAAGCUACUUCUAUGAGGUCUAUCGUUUCUCGAGUUCCCUGCAUUGAAGCAUGUUUUAUUGAUGCUGCUUAAUGCUAAUUUCCUGGUGGAAUACCGUGUGGUGUGUUCCCGGUGUCAAUCAGUACACGUUACACCGAGGCAGCUACAUUCAUCAGCCCAAACUUCCAUCGGAGCUGUUUUCCACAGAGCAGUGUUGAUAGGUGUUAAUUAUCUCCGUAGUCUUUUAAGUCUUCGGUUAUAAAUUCUAGCUUGCACGAGCUGCAUUUUGGCGUGAUUUUAGCACUGUUGCUGCCUGCCAGGUUUCCUCAGGCAUUGAAAAGUGUCUCCAGUGCGGGCCCAGCAGAUCGAACGGGAAAAUUGCCCGUUCUGCUGCGCUCCUGGAUGUCGCUGCAGCAGGGAAGGUUAAUGCGGAGCAGACAUCCAGCUUGGUGGUACCCGAAGUUGUUUCCCGUGUUGCGACCAGGCAGCCUUUCACUGCAUGAAACAGGAUGAAAAUACCUGAGAAUCCCAGGCCAAGGAGCAGGAGAAAAGCAAGCCAGGCCUCCACUUACACAUCUUUCCCUGGCAGUUUUGAACGACAGCGUUUGCCCAGCGCAAACCGGCUGAACCCACGUUGCUCAUCCUCGGCUGAGUCCCGGGGAUGGAUCUGGGGCGGAAGGAGCCGGGCACAGCCCCAGCGCAGGUCCAGCCUGGCCACCAGCAGGUCCCGGCCCCUCGGCGGCUUCUCUGGGCGCGGGCGGAUGCGCCUGGUUAACGUCCCGCUGCCAGGAAGCCCGGAGCAUCCACGGCGCUUUUUCCAGUGGCGUGUUGUAUUUUUAUUGGGUCUCCAGUGUGAACAGACAGGUUUCCCCCCAAAACGUGGGGAGCGGUGGCCCCUGGAGGAUCUGAGUUCCCUAAUCCCGCCGUGCAGAGGGCUUCACGGCACUGGCACCGGGCACUUGGGGCGGGGGCUCCUGUGCCCGCGGUGGCUCCGUUCCCGGCGGAUGGAGAGCAGCAAGCCCGGUCCAGGGGGGCUGCUGGGGCACCGGCGUCCGGCGGCGGCGGGUCCUGUGCAGGGAUCCGGCACGCUGGGGCUCUCCAGGGCAGCCGCUGGCCGGCAGGGAGCUGGGGGGGACGUGAGCGCUCAGGGACGCGUGCAGGGCUUUGCCGUUGGCAAACGGCCCUCGUGCAAGGAGGGGCCACCCUCAGCCGUGGCACCUUCUCCGAGAGACUGGGACUUUCUGCCUUCAAACUCGGUAUUUUCCCGUUGGUGAGGACCUUCAUCCCCGGCCACAUGAAGACUGGGCAGAGCUGAUCCCAGAGCCAUUAGGAGACAGCCCUGGGACGUGGCGGAGGAUGGAAAAGGCAUGGAAAAGGCAAAAGUAGCCCCUGUCUUUACAAGGGAGAAAGGAGAAGCUGGAGACCUGGGGGAUUAGUGAGUUUAGCUUCAUUUCCUGGAAGGAAACUGAAGCAAAUAAUCAGAUGUUUCUGAGCCCCUGCAAGGUGACAAGGAGCUGGGUAACAGACAACCUAAGACUUCUCCUCGAGAUCAGAUUGAUCUGUUUUUCUCUACAAUAUAUAAUAAGCCCAGGAGUAGGGAGAAUCAGGAAAUACCAUGUGUCAUGAGCCCUGCAAGAUAUUUCGACACUGUCUUGCAUAGCAUCCUCACAUGGCAGCUAGGGAAAUAUGAGUCAGAUAAAAAUGUUGAUAGAAACUGAAAAACAUGUUGGAUAAACAUAUCUGGGAGUAACCAGAGCUCAUAGUCCAAACAGGAAGGAAGUGCUGGAAGGGGUUCUGCAGGGAUGUCCCAGGUGGAGCCCUGCUAAUUGUUUUCAUUAGCAAAAUAUACAAUGGGGAGGAGAACAAAGCUGUUAAACUUGCAGACAAUGCGAAGUUGGGAGGGGGUUCAAGGACUUGAGAAAAGAGGAUUACAACGAAAAAUUGAUUCAAAUUUGAAAUGAUCUGGAAAAAAAGGAUGAAGUUGACCGGGACCAGUGCCAUGCGUGUGGUUACAACCAACUGCAUGCAGGUGGGAUGGGGAACAGCCGGACAGGUACUGGCUCUGCAGGAAGGAGCUGAGUUGGUGGUGGACCACAGGCAGAACACGAACUGAAAAUGCCCAAAUGGUGCAAAAACCGGCAGUUCUCUGCCAGCUGCAUGAACAGUGUCAUCUACAAGGCGAAUCCGUCUCCCCUCCACGCUGGCAAUCUCUCUGCUCUGGGCCUGUGCUCAGGUGGGUGUUGCUGUUUGGGAAGAGGUGGAUCAGCUGGAGGGAGUCCAGAGAAAAACAAGCUGGCUGAGCCAGGCUCUCGUGGCUGGUGCAAUCUGGGGUCCGUAGAGGAUGAGCUUUCCCAGUCCGGUGCUCAGCUCCCGCAGGAGAACAUCCCACCACCCCGGCUCCUCUCCACCAGCGGAGUUGAGGUUGCGGCCGGGUGGUGAGUGCAGGGUAGGAGGUGGGUCCCUGUGGUCUCCAGGAGGGGUUUCGGUCUUCCCUUGCUGCAGAAGGUCCCUUGGACGGAUGGUGAUGGAGAGAUGUAACAUUCUUCGUGAGGCGUGUGACUGUUCUUCACGACGUUCAGUUAAAAACAUAGCUCUGUGUCACCCUGCGUGGCAGGUUAAUGAACAAGGAGGAAUUCACGGUGCUCCGGGAGCAGCUGCUAGAGGAAUUCCUCCUCCGAGAGGGCUCUCCCGGUGAGGGCUGCAGAGCCAGUGCUUGGUCUAUCGGCGUCAACAUUUUCAUCAAUGAUCGGAGAAUAAAUACAAAUCUUGGCUGGCAAAACUGUGAGAUGCAGAGAUUAGUAGAGUGGAAAUUAAUGAUGGAGACAGAGCAGUCUCACGGAGCCAUCUGGACUGCUUGGCAAGACGGGCCCCUUCAAAUGAAAUGCAUGUUAAUAGAGAUGGAAAAUAUGUCCGCGAGUAGGGACUGCGCCCUGGCCUUGGAUUUUCAAAGCAGUCAUAGACGAGCAGCUCAUGUGCUCCAGGCUGACACGGGAGCAGAGCCCUGGGAUCUGAGGGACCGCAGAGGUGGGAACGGGAGCAGAUCUGGAAGUGCAGAAAAUGCAGGAAAGAGCCACAGAGGGUGAUGCAGGUGGGGAAAAUGCCUCCUAGCCAGAGAGGAGGAGUUCAAUCUGCUGAGCUGAUCAGGAAGGAGGCUGAAGGCAACUUGUUGUGGAGCAUCAAUGCCGUCAUGAAGAGCAGCGCUGGGUGCUGGUGGCCCUGUCGUCAGGAGGAACAGGACGGUCGGGGACCAGCAGCCGGUAGCUGGAAGCAGACACAUUCAGCUUAGAAAUGAGACACACAUUUGUUAGCUGUGGGGAUAAUUAAGGAAUCCCUGAAUGUACCCCCACAGCGAGCUGUGGCUGAAUCUGCUUGAAACAUUUGCAAAACUCCUAGGAGAAACCACAGAUUUUCCUGAACUGGAAGUUUUCUGUGGAGUCAAUUUAGACAAAUCUCCCACCGUGAAGCUGUGUUUGGGGACGGGGCUGUGGGGGUGAGGAGCCCGUGGGGUGGCCUGGGGACACGCAGGGCUCGAGUGUCCGGUGCGGAGCAGAGUGCUGGUGGCUGCAUGGGGCCGCAUGCAAUUUUCUCAAAUCCUUCAUGGACUUCAGGCCCCAAGGACAGCAAAUACCUCCUGCAUCCUGCAAAUGAUGUUCCUGGUUGUGCCCCUUGCUCGGGUGUUUGUCUGUCUGCAAUAGCUUGCUGCUGCCGGGGCAAGUUUCCAGUCCUCCACCUGCCCUCUGAAGUGCCUGCAGCCCUCCUUGCUUAAUGUGACCGGCUGCUUUUGCAAACCGUGCUCCGUUCUGUCCUCCAAAACCAAUGUGAAAGUGUUCUCUGUUCUCUGCACUGAGAAAAGGCCUCUUUAGUAUGCACACAGAAACAUCACGUGGAACAGUCCCCAAAGUCAGGUCAACUUUACACUCACAGCUCUCCUCCUAGCUCCUCGCUACCAUCCUGUUAAGGACAGGCAUCAGACUGGUUUGACCUGCUUUGCUCUUGACGGGUCUCCGCGGGGUUGUUCCGAAUCCCUGCCUGCAUUCCCGGGAGCACAGGGGCUGCCACCCGGGGCCAGACCCCUGGUUCGGUGUCCAGCAGAGCGCGGGGUCCUUGGGGCCUGCCUUGAGGAGACCUGGCCACCACGGCAGCCGUGCUGAUGCCUACCCCGGGCAUGGUGAGAGGUCUCCGUGCCAAAAGGCUGCAGCUCCACGCAGCUGGGGCAGUUCUGGUCUCCUGGGUCUGCGCAGCUGCCGGUUUGGAGGGGCUGAACCCAGAAAAGGAGCCUUGCAGGGUCUGUGAAACCUCUGAUCCCAGGCAGGACUGGCAAGAGCUGGUGCGUUUGAGCACGCAGCCUGAAGCAUCCCAAGCUGCAUUUGCUGAGCUUCCUCCUUCUUAAGAAGCUCGAUGCCUGAGACUUGCUCCUUUGAUGAACUCUGAAGUGUGAGGAGCUGCUGUGCCAGAGACUCUCUGAUACAACCCAGAAACAAUGCACUGCUGUUAGGAAAAUAAGGGCAUGCCUGCAGCGGAUGCUCAUUCAAGAACACAACGAUGAAGCAAGCUGUAGCUGUGUUUCCCUUAGCGCCUGCCCAGCUUGCAGCAGCCUGAGGUGCAGAGGCUCCCCGACAUGCCCUGGCUGCACGGGGGUGUCCGGGGGUCCUGUUCCUCUGCCCGUCCCCGCGCCAGGGCAGCGGGUUGCUCUUCCGCAGGACAGCGUCAAUACGCAGAGACCGUGUUCGCGACCCUGGUCAGCCUGGCCUGUGCCGACACCGCGGCCACCAAGGGUCACCGCCUGACCGUCACCUCUUGUUGCUCUUCAUCACCCUCUCCUCCCAUCUCCUGCCUGUCCUCCAAAGCGUGCCAGCCCCAAGGCCCUCAGCACCGGCAGCUCCUGUGUCCGUGUCUUCCUCCUCUUCUACAUCACGGUUGUUUUCACCUUCCUCAAGCACUGCUCCAGCCCCUGCCUGGUUCCCUGCGCCCGCGUCCUCGUCACCAGCGUGCAGCUGCUGGUGCCCCACGCUGAGCCCCGUCGCCCACCUGGUGCCGACCGAGACGAUCCAGGACGGGGUGCUGGAGGUUUCCUUCUCGGGGAGGACUGAGCGCUGCAGCUGACCAAGCUGUGGUGAGCUCCUCUCACCUGUGACGAAGGGCACUGCUCCCAGCCUGGCACGGGGCACGCACAUUUUGCUGGGGUGGCCCCAAGCUGCCAGCACGAUGGCUUAGCCUCACACGCAGCAAGCAGCAGUAGCCCUGCACUGGGCCCCACUUCUCCAAUGCAGUCGUCGCUCCUUUUUGCAAAAAGCUCUUGGAUGAAGCUGGGAGGAGAGGGGCAAGGCGCAGCUCCUGCCCUCCUACCCGGUCAGCAGGGCUCCUUGCACUCUCUGUUCUCCACUCAUCCCAGGGCCAGGAACCGCUGGACGCCUCCAGCAAUGCCCCAGGCUGCUCCGAGUACUCUGCCUUUUGCAGGCGUGGUCUGGGUACACCCGGCAGCUCUGGGUAUAUCAUGUAGUCCAGACAUGACUAAAGGACUAAAGAUCAUCUCUGCCGAUGGAAGAGCGGUUUCCGUGCCUGGGAAGUGGGAGCUGUAUUGCAAUUAAUGGGAAGAAUGGCCUGACAGAGGCCUGGAUGCUAACUGGGGGAGAGUGCGUUCUCAGGCAUUUGUUCUGCCCCGCUCCCGUCUUCCCGAGGUGCUCCGGAGCCAUCCUUCUUCCCAGCACCCUGCGGCUGGUCUGCGGCACCCCCGCCUCCAACAGCAGCGAGAGCAGGCGGGUGGGAGAGAAAGCAAGUGAUGGGGGAGCCUCUGUGGCAGGCGCCGAUGGAAAAGUGAAACAAAAGCACUCGCCAACGAUUAAUCAGGACCCCAAAAUAGAAUACUGGCCUUUUUCCCAGCCAAAAGGCCUCCCAUGCUUAGAUAUGCUGUAGCUGUUGUCCAUCUGCGAUAGUGGGAAAGCUCUGGCACUGCAAUAACGCAACUCAAAGUCUACGAGCGGCCCAUGGUGGAGACGCGGCAUCCAGGGUGGCGUGUGAUCGGCGAGGGACUGGGAACGAGCGGUGCUGCUUCCGCACACCUACUUGCAGGCUUGGCCAGCGCAGAGCGCUGUGAAUCACGCCUGAAGAUUUGCCAGGGAAGGCAGGAACAUGUGGAAACUGGGCUGCUUGAGCAGUGCAGACACGUGCGAAGGUGGAGAGGGAGACGGUGGGGUGCAGGGUGCAUGCUGGAAGUGCGCAUGGGGCAACGGAGAUGCAUGAGAAAGAUCCCGCAUUUCCAUUUCUGCAGUCAGUGGGGCAAAGACCCCUGCUGCUCUUCUUCUGCCUCUUUAUGGCCGAGGCAGAGAUUGUCCUAUAUUCGUGAUGCCAGGAGAUGAUCAGAGGAAACCUGUGUCGCUCCCAAGAGGAAACAUGAGGACUGUUGACGCUUGGAGAGUGCGCGUCUGAAAUGUGGGACAAGGUCUGUGCCCUCAAGCAUAGGAGAAGUCCUGUGGCUAUGACUCACUGCGAUUCCCUUUUUGGAUGCAAAAAUUCUGAGCUUAGUGUUUGCUUCCCAUCACAGCUCCCGGGAAUGACGCCUGAUGGCAGGGAGUGGAGGAGGAGGCGUCUGCAAAGCGCAGCCUGGCUCUGUCCCUGCAGACCCGCUCCGGAGCUCGGCAGCGCUGGCACUUGGGUGCCCAAAGCUGGAGCCUUGUCCCUACCAGCGGAGGACAGCCCUCGUCUGCAGACAGGGUUUCUAGCUUGGGAGUAGAUGCCAUUCGCUAGGCGAGUGCUGGGGAGCUGUGAAAGACACUUGUGUUGCCUCCGCCGCGCACCGGGGCGUGUGCGAUCGCUCUGCAUCCCAAUCAGCUGAAAAUAGCAGCGCCGGCGAGGCAGCCUCGGCGUGACGGCAUUGGCAGUGGCUCUGCCCGCGUGCGCCUGCGCGUUGGCACCCGCGGGGCCGCCUGUGUGUGCAUGCAGGCAUGCAUGUGCAUGCACACGCGUGUGUCCUUGCAUGUCCCCAUGGGGACCCAGGCCCUCCCGCUGCUUCCUGAGGGUCUAAGUGAGUUGCACCAGACAGGUCUCCUUUUGCUUCAUGUCUCCACCAGCACAGACUCACGGAAACACGCCGGUGGGACGGGACCUCUGGCAGCCUCUGGUCCACCCCAGCCCCCUUAAGCCAGGGUAGUUAGACCAGGUUGCUCAGUGUCCAGUCACGGUCUGAGGAUCUCUAAGGAUGGAGAUGCUGAAGUGCUUUUGUCCCCUCUCCCAGUGUGUGACCAGCUCAGGGCUGCACCGGUCUGCUCCAGCCUGUCACCAUCGGUCUGGUGCUGGGGGGACCCAGCCUGGACAUGGCACCGGUCAGCCACCUGCAUCCCCCGGGCUGCUGCUGCCUCGAGGGCACCAUGUCUCUUCCAGGACCCCUGAACAUCCUCCCCCAGCCCCGGGGCAGGACUUGGCGGUCGCCUUCGUGGCCCGUGCUGUCCCUGCCAGGCACGUCUCGGCCUGUCGAGGUCCUCUUGGGUAGCAGCCUGCUCGCCGGUGUGUUGACCUCGGGAUCAUCUGGACUUUGUGCUGCUGAUCACCACUUCUGAGCCCAUGAGCCAGCCAAUUUUCCACUCACCUUAUCUUCCAUUUAUUCAGGCCCUAUCUACACAGUUUGGCGUACACGGAUACUGCAACUUGCAGAUGCCAAGGCGAGCAGCACCCUCUGCUCUCCCUGUGUCCGUGCAGGGUCACCUCGUUGCAGGAGGCAGUCAGGCACGACGUGUCCUCGCUAAAUCCAUGCUGACUGUUCCCAGCCCCUUCCCGUCCUUCACGCGCCUGGUCAGGGCUUCCCGGAGGAUUUGCCCCAUCACCUGCCCAGGCACCGAUGUGAGGCCGACCAGCCCGUGGUUCCCAGGCAGAUCCUCUUUCUUGCCCCCUUGAAGAUGGGCACGGUGCUGAUCUUUCUAUUCAGGGUCCUUCCCUGGCCACUGCGGCUUUUCAAAGCUGUUACUCUCAGAGGCCAGGGGGGUAGGUGACACCAUGGGGCAUAGGAUGGGCGACGCGUCCACCCCGUCCCAGCUCAGGCACCGCUGCCUCGUGUAAACUGGCCAAGCUCCGUCUUAAAACUAGCAGGAGUUUUUGCCUCGACUGUUCCAUUAGUCCGGAUCGUUGCUCCCUGUCUCCUCUGGCAGGGAAAACCUCCUGCAAAAAUUGAAAUUGGAUUUCCUGGUCGUUGUGGAGUGUGAGGCUCAGUAUCGUUGCGAAUUAGAUAUCGACUGAGAGAGAGAAAAGAGAGUCUGGGAUUUGCAGGCGGCAGAAGGGAGGUGGGUGACUGUGGCUGCAGAGGACAGUGCUGAGGAACUGAACGGUCCGUGGCGAAGGACAGCUUAAAAUUUGGCGUCUUCACCUGCAGAUCAGUGCAGAAGGCACACUACUGCCGGGAGCCGGGAGCUGAUUAGCAGCGUUUUGGGGGUCUGGGUGGGGACAUCUGGUCAGUGCACAGCGGCGGUCAGGACAGGACGAGCAGGGUGCCGGGACACCGGGGGACGGGGAGCAGCACGGCCAGGACGGUGCAGGGCUGAUGGCCGUUCUGACGCAAGCAACGCAGGACUGCUGAGGGCGAGAAGGUGGAAAAGGACCUGAAAAAAAGCUGAGCUCUUACCUCAGAAAGGAGAUGGAGGAAAACAGACACAGUGACUGGCCAUAGAUAUCUCCGUGGCCUCUCCCGGGCAGACUGGCGCUUUGCUCGCUGCCAGCGCGGUCCCCGGGAAGGCCCCAGCUUUCCCGUGUGUUGCAGGCUGCUCCCUGGAAGCUGCUGCGGCGUGAACGGCUCUUCUGAAUGGCGGAAGGUUUCGGUCCCGACUCGGACCGAUGAAUGCAGAACGCAAGGCGUUUCUGUCCUGGUGACACUGCAGCGAGUCCUGGCUUUGCUGGUGCCUGGGAAGCGCCCAGAGGGAAUGGCACUGAGCAUCUGCUGGUUUGGCCAUGGGGAGACCAGUUUCUCCCCUCAGCCUGACAUAGACGUUUCUCACUCACACCUUCGCUGCCCUGAAACCAGGCAUCCUUCCACGCCACACACCCACGGUUCCCCAGUAACUCGUGUCAGUGCGUGUUGUGCUCCCUUGGGUAUGAUAAAAAUGACAACUAGAAGCUAAAAUACGAUGUUCAGCACCCUCCUUUGAGCCCCAACACACGUGCCAAGCUCUCACCCUGCUAAGGGCAGCAGGAAUGGGUUGUGCCCUGCAGGAAUGGGUUGCUAUCCAGC